Sinocyclocheilus rhinocerous is the source of this 623-nucleotide long non-coding RNA. RefSeq lists it as uncharacterized. Lineage: Eukaryota; Metazoa; Chordata; Actinopteri; Cypriniformes; Cyprinidae. The transcript has 2 exons. The record is from RefSeq and is a predicted model, not a curated record.
UGGCAGAUCCAUCUGGUGUGUGUGUGUGUGUGUGAGUGUGUGUGGACGGGACCUUUUUGGUCUUUUGGCGGCUGAGAUGUUCUUCCGCAUUCUUCUCCUGACGCCUGGAUACAUUCGAUACCUGCAGACUCAGGCAGCGCGGACCGGUCUGCAGAGGGAGGGGCCCGUUGUACCCCGCUUUGCCAUGCUGCUAGGCCUUGUGGGUUUUGGCAUGUCAGGAUACAGCUCUUGCCAGCUGACCUUAUACCACAAGCCAUCGCCACAUCUCCUGCGGUGAAACACAACGCAGGAAACAGAGAGAAAGCGCAUCGCUUUUGUUUAGAGGUGCGUUCUUUCUUAAACAGACUGAACAAGCCAAAUAUCAUCAUUAUAGUUUUUACCACAUCAUGCUGAAGCUCAUAGUCUUGCUUUGGGUGCGAGGAUGGCAGAUCCUCAACCAAGCUCUCCCAAACUUGUUCUCUGGCAACAAUGGAGUGAAUUAAAUGCUUUUACUUUUUAAUUAGUUAGUCUAAAUCAUAAAAUGACAAAGGGGAUAUUAUAUGGCCUUGUGGAACUCAAGGAUGUCUCAAAGGCCACUUAAAUUCACCAUUUGGGACAGGGGUCCAUUUAGCACUGGAUUAUAU